GGAUUGAGGGUGAUCUGGCUGCUAUAUCUGUCAUCCCAUACAUGGCCAGGGUGGAUCGGCUGAUCUGGCUGCCUCGGCAGGUGUUUCCUUCCUCCCUCCCCACUGCUCCAUACGUGUUCCUCCCAGAGCUGCAUGCUCAGUUGAUCAAAAGGACAACCUUCCCUGCGACAGGAGGAUGGUUCUCUGGUCAGUAGUGUAUAAGUACCUAAGGUCCCUUGGUAGGACCUUCAAACAAGCUCUCAAGGCCCAUUUGUAGAAGAAUAUGAGAUUCCAGACACAUCCAAAUAAGGCACUGUGUAUGGCAGUCUGUCUUU
RNAcentral lists this small nuclear RNA (314 nucleotides) under Microcebus murinus (gray mouse lemur). RNAcentral describes it as "7SK RNA (ENSMICG00000024003.3)". It matches the Rfam family "7SK RNA". Rfam says of the family: 7SK was discovered as an abundant small nuclear RNA in the mid-70s but a possible function has only recently been suggested. Two independent studies have found that 7SK RNA binds the CDK9/cyclin T complex (known as elongation factor P-TEFb). Lineage: Eukaryota; Metazoa; Chordata; Mammalia; Primates; Cheirogaleidae. The record is from RNAcentral.